Molecule: ribosomal RNA, 423 nt
Filed under: uncultured bacterium
Lineage: Bacteria
Description: bacterial SSU rRNA
Rfam family: Bacterial small subunit ribosomal RNA
Source: RNAcentral
AGAAUCAUUCACAAUGGGGGAAACCCUGAUGGUGCAACGCCGCGUGGAGGAUGAAGGCCCUUGGGUCGUAAACUCCUGUCAUAUGAGAGUAAGGCAUGAUAGUUAAUAGCAUUCAUGUUUGAUAGUAUCAUCAGAGGAAGGGACGGCUAACUUCUUGCCAGCAGCCGCGGUAAUACGAAGGUCCCGAGCGUCGCUCUGACUCACUGGGCGUAAAGGGAGCGUAGGCUGCGCGGUAAGUCAGAUGUGAAAUCCCGGGGCUCAACCCUGGAACUGCAUCCGAUACUGCCGCGCUAGAGUAAUGGAGGGGUAACUGGAAUUCUCGGUGUAGCAGUGAAAUGCGUAGAUAUCGAGAGGAAGACCAACGGCGAAGGCAGGUUACUGGACAUUUACUGACGCUGAGGCUCGAAGGCCAGGGUAGCGAAA